CGCCCAGGAUCCCUUGCGGGCGUCUCCAGCCCCGGGGCAGCCGACGGUGCUGGCUGGCGGCAGCCAAGGCGUGCUGCGUUGGCCCGGAGGCUGGCAGACGCACCCGGCAGGCGCUGGGCCCAGCCACAUGAAAGGCAGAGCGCUCCACCCGCCAGCUGCCUUUAGCUGGGUUCUGACGCCGCCGUCAUGCACCCCAAGACCGGGCCAUCGAAGGGCCGCCUUCCUCCCCAGGCAUAGGGAUCAGGCUGUCCUUAAGGAGCUCCAGCCCCGGGGCCGGGUGGCCCACAAGUGGGAGCACACGGUUUCCCCUGCCAGGCUCCCAGGUUCCCAGGCUCCAAGACGAAGACGCGCACCAGCACCGAGGCUUUGCUGACUGACCGCUUGUCUCUUAAUUCUUGCCUGACAUAGACAUUCCCUGCCCAGGGAAGUGUUUGAUUUAUGUUGAGGUUUGAGUGUCCGGAUUUUGCUGACAGGUGGGGAAACUGAGGUGCAGAGAAGGAAAGUGAUUUGCUCAAGGUGAAUGGUGGAGCUGGGACUUGAACCUGGGCCGGAAUUACUCCAGAACAUCUGGCAGCCACAAUCUGGUAUACAAACGUGCUGGAAGCCUUGUUGGUGAAGCCGUGCCUCGACGGUGAUGAGACCCAGGUCUGCCCAUCUGUCAUAGCAUCUCAGACUCUUCUGGAAGGACCUCCUGAUCAUCUUCUAGUCCGACAGCUAGGACCACUGCCUCGCAGGGAGUAUAGGUAACUUGUCUGAGCCGGUCCUGGGAAGGGCAGAGCUCAGCCUUUCGGUCCUUGUCUGUGGGAAAGAGGCCAGUUCUAGCAGUAGAGCUUGUUAUGGGGGACUCGGUUUCCCAAUCAUUGUCAUGACCAAUGACCGGUAACCAUGAACUCUUCCCUCCUUUUCCUUCUGUCCAGCAAGUGCAGCAUCCCAAUGCAGCCAGUCGUGAAGAGAACAUUUCCAUAGGAAUUCUGCAAUAUGGAUUUCCUCUCCAGGCCCCAGUCCAGUCCAAGCCAGUUCCUCUUCUGGCUGGGAAGUUUCUUUCCUCUUCCCACUUCCAUGAAACUAUUAGGCUCAGCUCAAGCCCACUCCUUUCUCCCUUCUCCUCCUACCUUCCUCAGGCAGUAGCUCUCUCUUCUUCAUAGCUCCUGGCUCUACCGCCCCAUCCCCACCUCCACACCCCUGCUGGACCCCAGUCCCUCAGGAAUUCUCUAGAGUCACAUCAGGGAAUCCCACAGAUGCAUCCUGGACAACACAGGAAUGCCAAAGACAUCCCAGGCAAAAAAGGUUCUGGGAUCAAACCAUUUGGGCAAAGCUGCACACCAGACCUUCUUCUUCAAAAUUAAUGUGCAGUCAAGUCCUUGGAAAGGCUAGCAGUCAGGAAACUGUUUUGUUUGCUUUUUCAACCCAGGGUUUCUGGAACUGUGAUAACCACAUAAUCAUCUUCCCUGUCCCUACCGCAUACCUGUGACAACAGGAAAAAACCAGUGAUCUACUGGAGAACACACUUCCGAAAAUUCUACCCCAGCCUUCCGCCUGAGUUUGCAGUUAAUCUCGCUUUCACUGAUUUCAGCCUUUCCUUUUUCUUGGGGCUAAUCUCACAAAAUAAUCUAAGGCAAUGUCAGCCGAGUAGAGUCUUCAAGAAACAUAUACUUGAUGGGGAUGAAGAUUUUCUUAAGACUUGAUUAUGAUGCCCAGAAUACAUCAAGGAUUUUCUAGAAUGUGGGAGGAAGGGGAGUAGAAUUUGAAAUAACAGCAGAUCGUCUUUACCCAAUUUUUAUUAGUUUCCUAGUCAGAGGACCAAAGCCAGGGAUGGAAAGUAAUGGAGAAUAAUCAAACCAGACCUUGGUCACAGACAGAUUGUUUUUGAGUGAAUGAGUGAACAGACUUUCUGACUGGUCAGAAGGUUGGGAGGCUGUGAAUGAAUGCCUGCACGUACGUGUGAAUGAAUGAAGGAAGAUUGAAAAACUGGUCCCCAGAUUAGAAACUGCCACCCAUGUUCAAUGGAAGAAGCCAGACAUAAACAGAGGACACUGUGAAUGUUUCUACUUAUAUGAAGGUCAAGAACAGAUCAAGCUACUCUACUAUGGAAAACACAGAGCUGUGGUUGCCUUUGUAGAGUAGGCAUUGACUGGAAAGGGGAAAAAGGGCUUUGGGGUGGAUAGAAAUAGUUUCUCUCUUGAUUCCGGGGAUGGUUACACUAGUGUAUACUUUUGUCAAAAUUCACCAAAUUGUACAUUUAAGAUCUGUGCACUUACCUGUAUUGUCCAUUUCAUCUAAAAAUAAAAAUCUUACCACUUA
This is a long non-coding RNA of Mustela lutreola (European mink), 2301 nucleotides long. RefSeq lists it as uncharacterized. Lineage: Eukaryota; Metazoa; Chordata; Mammalia; Carnivora; Mustelidae. The transcript is spliced from 3 exons. The record is from RefSeq and is a predicted model, not a curated record.